This 927-nucleotide long non-coding RNA is filed under the name Malus domestica (apple). RNAcentral describes it as "long non-coding RNA (MDOM_LNC000280)". Lineage: Eukaryota; Viridiplantae; Streptophyta; Magnoliopsida; Rosales; Rosaceae. The record is from RNAcentral.
UCCAAGGUAGUCGAUAAGGAUUUAUAAACCGUCUCAGUUGAAUGGUUUUGAACUUUAUGACUAUGUCAUAGAAGUUACACCUCUUACUUCGAUAGAAAUAAGAAUGAAAAAUCCUUAUGACUACAUUGAGUGCAUAUACGAUAUAUACUCAAGGAAAUGGUAAAGUACCAUUUGACUCGAAAUAAUGAAACCUUCAAAGCUAAUUGGUAGCUUAAGGUGACUACAAUCAAAUAGAAUGGUUGACUUUAAAGGAACCAUUUUUGACGUAGUCUUAGUUUCAAUAAAUUCGAAGAUUGCUAGCUACAACUAAAUGGUGAUUCAAUGUUUUGACAUAAUAUGGGUUUCCGAAACCAUUAUUAAGAUAGUCUUGAUAAUAUAUGUCUAAAACUAUGAAUCACAAGACAUGAAAGUUGUAGAGAUCCAUCCAUCAUGGAUCUUAGCAAGUUAGUGGGAGCUAUUUGCAUUUUAUGAGAAAAAGGAUCAAAUCGUUUGAUUUCUCAUAAAGAUGUAAAUGAAUCUUUUGUUUACUAGUUUUACAAAAGAUUAGUGGGAGUUAAUCAUGUUCCUAAAAAUUUAAAUAUAUAUGAUAUAUUAAUUUUGGAAAUGAAAAGAAUACUUCUUCGUUAAAGUUAUGACUUUAAUACAUUAUAUGAAGAUAGAAUGUAUUUGGGAGAUAUAGUCUAUAUACAUGGGAUGGAAAUCUAUAAUGAUAUAUUUCAUGAUAUAAUUGGAUUAUAUCAAUCCCUAAUAAUAGACAAUGGAUGCUAGGAAGUUUCUCAUAUGAUGAUAAACUUCAAUAUGAAGGACGAUUCUAGUGAGACUAGCAAGUUGCCCUUCUCAAAGGGAAUGUACCAUUUGACUCCCAAAGAAAUAAUGCGUAAAUUGAAUCCUUUAUGCAUACGCAGAAAGGUGAUUUAUGUAUUUCAU